Polyodon spathula (Mississippi paddlefish) is the source of this 1239-nucleotide long non-coding RNA. RefSeq lists it as uncharacterized. The record is from RefSeq and is a predicted model, not a curated record. NCBI's taxonomy places the organism in Eukaryota, Metazoa, Chordata, Actinopteri, Acipenseriformes, Polyodontidae. The transcript has 2 exons.
GGAAGGUAAGAGUUCAGCUCAUUAAUGGUUUGUGGAUAGGCUGAAGCAGGAAGGUAAGAGUUCAGCUCAUUAAUCCCUCACAGCUCUCUCUGCAGCAUGGCCACAUCCUUGUGGGUUCUGUCUUGUGUGUCAAGUUUCGUCUCGCAAAGAUGAGGUUUGUCUUGUGAUGAAAACAGUGAAACACAAAACUCAGCAGUACAGUGGCCAGUCUCCCUCUAAACACAGUCUCUCCCUCCUCCUGUCCUCUCCCCUCCCCUCCCUCCAUCUCCUCUCCCCUCACCUCCCCUCAUCUCCCUCUUCUCUCCCCUCUCCUCCUCUCCCCUCCCUCUCCUCCUCUCCCCAUGUCUGUAUAAGCUGCUGGCUGGUUUUUAAGAUAAGUCUGCGUUUGCUCUCUGCACCUUCGCGUACAGCGCUGGGAAGCAGGCGCCAGUCAUCCUGUUCAGAGGGAAGACCUAUUGAUUAUCCAUUAUUGAUUGAUUGAUUUGUUUGCACAGAACGCCAGGGUGAGAACAUUUGAGGGUUUCCUCUCACACACUCACACAUCUGUGUGUGUAUCUUAACCAGCACCCUGUCUGUGUGGGAUGGGUUAUUUUCUCAGAUCUCUGUUUUAGGGUUAAAUAGUUGAACCAAGGGGACCCCGUGAUUUUGGCUGGGAUCCCUGCUUUCAGCCGGAUGGUUAUGAAAAGACGUAUGCAGAGCUGCCCAAGUAUGUAAAGAACAGCAUCUCUCAUCGCUACAGAGCCGCUAGGGCUGACAGCUUCAUUCAGCAAUGUGACGACCCGGACAGCGGCUCCCAGAGCAGCCAGACCUGGAGGCAGCAGCUCCUGGCGGAUACACUUUCUCUCCUCCCGGGUUUUCACUUGGGUGCAUCAAGCUGCUUUCUGAAACACCCUUAACCCACUCAUGCAUGGCGACCUCAUGUAGGGACGGAUACAAACUCUCUUCUAGUCUUUAUAUGAGGAGACGUGGAAGAAGCAAGUGCAUGAUGACCGGAUGCCAUCCCCACCCCAUAUAAAGCAAUGGGAAAAAUUGAAAUGUCAAUGAAAAACGUAUUGAUUGUGGGUCCAAACCUUUGUGCAUGAAAGGGUUAAAGAUAGUGAAACACUGAAGGUGUUUUUUUCCACAUGACCCAGAGGACAGUGGACCAUUGUGGGUGCGGUUCCUGACAGCCUGGGAAUGCAUCCAAUCCAGUCAGCUUGUAAAAUGUGAUACUGCACAAAUAAAACCUGCCUCCUUUUA